This 235-nucleotide long non-coding RNA is filed under the name Brassica napus (rape). RNAcentral's name for it is "long non-coding RNA (BNAP_LNC008269)". The record is from RNAcentral. Lineage: Eukaryota; Viridiplantae; Streptophyta; Magnoliopsida; Brassicales; Brassicaceae.
CCGGAUGCUACCGGAUGUUCCUAUCUGCUCUCUUUACUUGUAUAGGAUCUGGUGGGAAACCAAAAUGAUCAACUGGUUCAUGCAAAGUAUUUUCGAUACAGUUAAAUCGAGCUUGAAGCUGUAAUAUAUUUGCAACCUAGCCUUAAAUAUGGUUUCAUCAAUUGCAUGAUUUAAAUGCUACCCAGGCCUAAUGCUACCAAGUGCAACUCUCAUAAACUACAAACUUAUAUCUCUU